This 421-nucleotide long non-coding RNA is filed under the name Vigna radiata. Its description in RNAcentral is "long non-coding RNA (VRAD_LNC017630)". The record is from RNAcentral. Lineage: Eukaryota; Viridiplantae; Streptophyta; Magnoliopsida; Fabales; Fabaceae.
NAACUUAACUAGGAGGGAAGCAUCAUGUAUUUGAUUUUNAAUAGCAUAGUCACAUACUCUAAAGAACUAAAGGUCGAGUUUGUCAGUUUAGUUUAUAGCAUAUUCUGUUUUGGAAAAGGGAAAAAUAAAGUUUUAAAUAAAGCANACACUAUAAUGAUAACGAUCGAACGAUUGCACGAGAACAAUGACAAUCACUUAACAAGUGAAUGAGAACAAUGCUAAUCAAACAAGGAGUGAACGAGGAAGAAGAAGGAGAACAAAUGAAUGAAAACGAGAAAAAAAUAAUAGAAAUGAUCGAACGAGUGCACGAAAACAAUGGCAAGCACGGAACGAGUGAAUGAGAGCAAUGGCAAUCAUGGAAUGAUUGAACGAGAACUAUAUCAUCCAGAGUACGAGUGAACGAAGAUGAAAAAGAAGGAAA